AGCAGCCGCGGUAAUUCCAGCUCCAAUAGCGUAUAUUAAAGUUGUUGCAGUUAAAAAGCUCGUAGUUGAAUUUCGGGAUUGGCGCAUCGGUCGUGCCUUACGGGGUAUGAACUGGUGCAGUCAAUUUCUCACCUUCUGGAGAACCGCGAUGUCCUUAAUUGGGUGCCGCGGGGAACCAGGACCUUUACUUUGAAAAAAUUAGAGUGUUUAAAGCAGGCAUUUUUGCUUGAAUACAUUAGCAUGGAAUAAUAAAAUAGGACGGCAUGGUUCUAUUUUGUUGGUUUCUAGGACCACCGUAAUGGUUAAUAGGGAUAGUUGGGGGCAUUAGUAUUCAAUUGUCAGAGGUGAAAUUCUUGGAUUUAUUGAAGACUAACUACUGCGAAAGCAUUUGUCCAAGGAUGUUUUCUAUUAAUCAAGAACGAAAGUUAAGGGGAUCGAAGACGAUCAGAUACCGUCGUAGUCUUAACCAUAAACUAUGCCGACUAGGGAUCGGAUGAUGUUAAUUUUUAAUGUACUCAUU
RNAcentral lists this ribosomal RNA (520 nucleotides) under uncultured Entrophospora. RNAcentral describes it as "SSU rRNA". It matches the Rfam family "Eukaryotic small subunit ribosomal RNA", at positions 569 to 1080 of the family's 1831-position model. Lineage: Eukaryota; Fungi; Glomeromycota; Glomeromycetes; Entrophosporales; Entrophosporaceae. The record is from RNAcentral.